This is a long non-coding RNA of Ictalurus punctatus (channel catfish), 2303 nucleotides long. NCBI's taxonomy places the organism in Eukaryota, Metazoa, Chordata, Actinopteri, Siluriformes, Ictaluridae. The record is from Ensembl.
AUGGAACUGAAAUGGACUGCACCGAGAUAACACUCCAUCAGUGUUCACAGGAUAACCCAUAAUACUCAUGUGGGGUGAACAAAAACCUGUCUACAAAUACACAAUGUAAACAAGUGCUUGGCAGUGUCAUUGUUAAACCCAGAAUACACAUGUAUAAUCUCCCGGAGAGGUGAUGCAGGCUUGUGUAUGAGAUUGCACAAGCGUUUAUUAAGCGUCUAAAAGAAGCAGCACAUCAGUCUGUACGCGGUGCAGUUCCUCUAUUUAUUUUCAUUCCAUUUUAAAGCCGCCAUUACAGCCCGAAAUAUUUCACACGAGUUUUGUAAAGACACGACAGAGCAAUGCGGGUCUUUGCUUUAACCGGUCUCCUGCUUUAUGUCUCCGUACACACAGCUCCCAGUGACAUAUCCAAUCAGAUACGCACAGAGGGGAGUGACGCACUUCUCUUCUGUGUACAUGAUGGUAAAGUGUUGUGGAGUAAAGGUGUUGAUGGAGGGAGAAGGGACAUCCUCACUGCUGAACGUGGAGAAAUCAUCAUUAAACACAGUCCUGAUCCAGAUAACAGAUACACUGUGUUCAGUGAUUCAUCACUCCAUAUAAAGGAUCUGUCUCUCUCAGACUCGGGGGUUUACUACUGUAACGCUGUUCCUGUGAUCAAUCUGACUGUCACUCCAUCACACGGUAGCACCGGCGAGACAGAGAAAGGUUCCGCUGGAAAAGGGACCAAAAGUGAUGAUGGUGAUGGUGAUGAUGAGAAAGAUGAUGAUGAUGAUGAUGGUGUAAAAGAGUGGAUCGUCGCUGCUGUAGUGGGUGUGAGCUGUGUGGUGCUGUUGCUUCUGUCAAUAUGGGGAUUUUUCACUAAAAGGAAAGCAGCUCAACAGAACCACACAGUACACACAGUACACAUGUGUGACUCCGUUAUCAACCUUCCAGCAGACCCACAACCUGGAUGUAGUGUUACACACAUCUAUGACGUUACUAACGAGCCUCCGGAAGCCCCACGGUGUGCUGAUCAGCAGAGAGAGUGCGAUGCUGUGUAUUUCCUGGCACAAAGUCCAGCGUCCAACACUACAGGUGAUCAGGAGAGAGAGGGCGAGGCUGUAUAUUUCCUGGCAACACAUCCAACGUCCAACACUACAGAAGGGGACCAAGUUGGACCGCUUUACACCAAGGUCCAGAAGCCCAGAAAUAACACCUGAAGUUUGUCGUUAUAUGAUUAUUAAUAAUAAAUACAGCUGCAGCUCUAAUCUACUGUGGUUAGUUAUUAAUAAUUAGAUGCCGUAAUCGUGUUACGUUACAGUUUUUCUUUAAUGAAUUCAUCUUACACGUAAUCCCAUGUACGCAUUUCUGUGUACUUUUCUGUAUUAGCAAUAAAAGUUGCCACACACUGUUCACUUCCUGUUUUGGUGAAUCAUCUGGAAACUUCUGCAUCCUGCAGUGUUUUGUGUAAUUAUUUCAUCUAAUUAUAGACUAUGACACACAACCUCAUUUUUGGCAGCGAUUUGUGUGUUUGUGUUGUGAGAGUUGUUCACGAGUCCCUCGUUCGUCCUGAGCGGUUAAACCGCCCGCUGUUCUUCAGAAAAAUCCUCCAGGUCCUGAACGUUCUUUACUUUUCCAGCAUCUUCUGCAUAUUUGAUCCCGAUCAUCCUGUUCAAAAGUUUACACCCCCCGGCUGUUAAUGUAUUCAUCGUGUUGCCUUCUUGAUCAUCAGUGAAUGUUUGGACCUCAUGUAAUAGUCGUGUACGAGUCCCUCAGUCGUCCUCAGUCUGAAAAGACGGAUCUGAACAUCAUAUAGCUGCUGCUGGAAGAGGACUCAAAUGUGCAGAAGAUGCUGCAAAAGUAAAGAAUGUGCAGGACCUGGAGGAUUUUUCGGAAGAACAGCAGGCAGUGAAAGAACAGUGGGUUUUACUGAAAAAAGAAUUAUGAAUGAAAAGACUCUGAAACUUGUUUUUUUCUGAAUUAUAAACAAUGCAAAACAAUGUGCAUUUCUGUCUGUAUAAAAAUAAUAAAUAAAACAGCGGUUUAAUGUUGGAAAUGUAUUAAGGGUUCAACAUACCUUAAAAAUAAAUAAAUACUUUUAUAAAUUCUCCCAAAAAUGUGAUUGAAUAAACGGAGUCUCUGAUCUGGGGAAAGAUCGAAUGAAACACAAUGAGCUCCGUAGCAGCGUCUCUGAGGCGUCGUUGUACCGGAAAUAGAGCUCCAAAGUCGCUAAAAUGCCGGAUUACGCUGCGGAUCAGUGGUGCGGAGUGGGUUAGGGUCAGGGUUUACAGUGCAGUUGCAUCAGAUGCAUCAGAAUCAUUUCCAUG